CAGAGUUCCUGCUUGAUGAACCUUGAGAAGGGAGACAAGCAUAACACAGCUGAAACCUGCCACCUAGCGGGCCUUCUAAUGAUGACAUGGUUUUGUCAGUGCAUUGAUUCUAAGCUAUCCCUGGAAAGAAAUCAACACCCUGGAUAUGGGCCCUGCAGGGUGCUGGUACUGUGCUAGGUGCCAGGGAAAGGACAGUGAAGAAACAGACAACAUGUAUGGAAAGAGCGAACCCUCUGCAGGGAAAUACGCCCAUCUGAUUCAUCAUCGGUUCCUAGCACACAGAACAGUGUCUGACACGACCAGAGCAUAGGACAUAUAUUUUGGUUUCCCCAGAGGUCUCAUGCUCAUGUCAGAAUUAGUGUCCGGUAUUGUGUCUCAUCAACGUGACGAAGACAGAAGUUAUCAC
RNAcentral lists this long non-coding RNA (406 nucleotides) under Heterocephalus glaber (naked mole-rat). RNAcentral describes it as "lncRNA (ENSHGLG00100050308.1)". Lineage: Eukaryota; Metazoa; Chordata; Mammalia; Rodentia; Bathyergidae. The record is from RNAcentral.